RNAcentral lists this small RNA (104 nucleotides) under Bradyrhizobium erythrophlei. RNAcentral's name for it is "Rhizobiales-2 RNA". It matches the Rfam family "Rhizobiales-2 RNA". Lineage: Bacteria; Pseudomonadati; Pseudomonadota; Alphaproteobacteria; Hyphomicrobiales; Nitrobacteraceae. The record is from RNAcentral.
GGGAGCGGUUACCCCUCCCCAUCGAGGCUGUAUUCGGCGCGAGCGCCCAUCCACCCCAAGCGCCCAUAUGGCUUGACCCGUCCGGUUGUCCCCCCGGACGGGUC